UACAGAGACUGCAAGCGUUAUUCGGAUCCACUGGGCGUAAAGGGUGCGCAGGCGGCCAAGUGUGUCAGGUGUGAAAUCCCGGAGCUUAACUCCGGAACUGCGCCUGAAACUACUUGGCUAGAGCAUUGGAGAGGGAAGUGGAAUUCACGGUGUAGCAGUGAAAUGCGUAGAUAUCGUGAGGAACACCAGAGGCGAAGGCGACUUCCUGGACAAUUGCUGACGCUCAGGCACGAAAGCGUGGGGAGCCAAAGGG
This 253-nucleotide ribosomal RNA is filed under the name uncultured bacterium. RNAcentral's name for it is "partial 16S ribosomal RNA". It matches the Rfam family "Bacterial small subunit ribosomal RNA", at positions 524 to 776 of the family's 1533-position model. The record is from RNAcentral.